Molecule: ribosomal RNA, 366 nt
Filed under: Triticum aestivum (bread wheat)
Lineage: Eukaryota; Viridiplantae; Streptophyta; Magnoliopsida; Poales; Poaceae
Description: partial small subunit ribosomal RNA
Source: RNAcentral
AUGUCACCAAAGCAUGGCCUGACGAGCAAACCAGCAGCGCCAAAGUGGAUUCCCCCAGUUCCUGGAAACAUCAAACUCAAUGUGGAUGCAGUAGUGGCCAAAUCCACUAGCAGAGGAGCUGUUGGGGUGGUAUGCCGAGAUGAGCAGGGAAGCUUUAGAGGGGCUUUCGCUGUUGUUUUUUAGGGGCUGAUGGAGCCUGAAACUUUAGAAGCUUUGGCUUGUAGGGAGGCCUUGGCUUUGGGACAUGAUCUUCACUUGGGAAAGCUUCAAGUAGCAACUGAAUGUCUGAGAGUCAUCAAGGAGAUAGAGUCUGAUAAGAACUUUGGUGGUCAUUGCAUGAUAAUUAGAGAGAUUUUAGAUCUUUAA